RNAcentral lists this ribosomal RNA (119 nucleotides) under Pteropus alecto (black flying fox). Lineage: Eukaryota; Metazoa; Chordata; Mammalia; Chiroptera; Pteropodidae. The record is from RNAcentral.
GUCUACUGCCACGCUAUCCUGAACACGCCUGAUCCCAUCUGAUCUCAGAAGCUAAGCACGGUUGGGCCUGAUUAGUACUUGGAUAGGAGACCACCUAGGAAGACUAGGUGCUGUAGGUG